RNAcentral lists this transfer RNA (86 nucleotides) under Candidatus Omnitrophota bacterium. Its description in RNAcentral is "tRNA-Leu". It matches the Rfam family "tRNA". From Rfam's summary of the family: Transfer RNA (tRNA) molecules are approximately 80 nucleotides in length. RNAcentral also lists the same sequence under 1 other name. The record is from RNAcentral. Lineage: Bacteria; Pseudomonadati; Candidatus Omnitrophota.
GGGCGGGUGGCGGAAUUGGCAGACGCCUGGGACUUAAAAUCCCAUGUCCUUUACCGGACGUGAGGGUUCAAUUCCCUCCCCGCCCA